Molecule: ribosomal RNA, 500 nt
Filed under: uncultured bacterium
Lineage: Bacteria
Description: bacterial SSU rRNA
Rfam family: Bacterial small subunit ribosomal RNA
Source: RNAcentral
GCCGCGUGCGCGAAGAAGGCCUUCGGGUUGUAAAGCGCUUUUCGGGAGGAAGAGGAAGGACUGUACUCCCGGAAUAAGUCUCGGCUAACUACGUGCCAGCAGCCGCGGUAAUACGUAGGAGGCUAACGUUAUCCGGAUUUACUGGGCGUAAAGCGCGUGCAGGCGGUUCGUUAAGUUGGACGUGAAAGCUCCCGGCUCAACUGGGAGAGGUCGUUCAAUACUGGCGGACUUGGGGAUGGUAGAGGGAGGUGGAAUUCCGGGUGUAGUGGUGAAAUGCGCAGAUAUCCGGAGGAACACCAGUGGCGAAAGCGGCCUCCUGGACCAUUCCUGACGCUCAGACGCGAAAGCUAGGGUAGCAAACGGGAUUAGAGACCCCGGUAGUCCUAGCUGUAAACGAUGUGAACUUGGCGUCGGUGGGAUUAAAUCCAUCGGUGUCGAAGCUAACGCGAUAAGUUCACCGCCUGAGGACUACGGCCGCAAGGUUAAAACUCAAAGGAAUU